This 897-nucleotide ribosomal RNA is filed under the name Triticum aestivum (bread wheat). Its description in RNAcentral is "partial small subunit ribosomal RNA". Lineage: Eukaryota; Viridiplantae; Streptophyta; Magnoliopsida; Poales; Poaceae. The record is from RNAcentral.
AUGACCGUCGACGCCGUGCCGAAGCUGGCGCAGUGCGCCGCGGCCAAGGCCAUCGCCGAGUGGGGCCGCCCGGCCGCCGACAUCACCCACCUCGUCUUCAGCACCUACUCCGCCUGCCAGGCCCCCACCGCCGACCUCCGGCUGGCCGCGCUGCUGGGCCUCCGCCCCAUGGUGAGCCGCACCAUGCUCAGCCUCCACGGCUGCUACGGCGGCGGCAGGGCGCUGAGCCUCGCCAAGGAGCUGGCCGAGAACAACCGCGGCGCGCGCGUCCUCGUCGCCUGCUCCGAGAUGACGCUCGUCUGCUUCGGAGCGCCCGACGGCGGCAACAUCGUCGGCCACGCGCUGUUCGGGGACGGAGCGGGCGCCGUCGUCGUCGGGGCCGGCCCCUUCCUAGACGGCGAGCAGGGCCCGAUCUUCGAGAUGGUGUCCGCCACGCAGACCACAAUUCCCAGGACGGAGCACGCGCUGGGCAUGCGGGUCUCCGGGGGCGGCAUCGACUUCCACCUGGCAAUCCAGGUGCCGACGCUCGUCGGGCAGAGCGUCGAGCCGUGCCUCCUCGACGCGUUCCAUGGCAUCAUUGUGGACGACGACGAUGCUCCACCUCCAUGCUCUGGGAAUGGGAAUGGGAACGGGAGGUGGAACGACCUCUUCUGGGCGGUGCACCCAGGAGGGCGUCCGAUCCUGGACAAUAUAGACAAGGUGCUGAUGCUGGAGCCGGAGAAGCUGGCGGCCAGCCGGCAUGUGCUCCGCGAGUACGGCAACAUGAGCGGCGCCACGAUCGUGUUCGUGCUUGACGAGCUGCGCCGCGGCCGGAGCCCGCUGCCGGAGUGGGGUGCGCUGCUGGCCUUCGGACCGGGAAUCACGAUCGAGGCCAUGGUGCUCCGCUGUCCACGCUAG